GUGGCGGGAUAGCUCAGUUGGUUAGAGCACGGGACUCAUAAGCCCGGGGUAGUUGUUGAUUAACAAAGAUAACACGCCACU
This 81-nucleotide transfer RNA is filed under the name Candidatus Pelagibacter sp. RNAcentral's name for it is "tRNA-Met". Lineage: Bacteria; Pseudomonadati; Pseudomonadota; Alphaproteobacteria; Candidatus Pelagibacterales; Candidatus Pelagibacteraceae. The record is from RNAcentral.